GACGAACGCUGGCGGCGUGCUUAACACAUGCAAGUCGAACGCUGAAGCUCAGCUUUUGUUGGGUGGAUGAGUGGCGAACGGGUGAGUAACACGUGAGUAACCUGCCUCCUUCUUUGGGAUAACGCCCGGAAACGGGUGCUAAUACUGGAUAUUCACUGGUCUUCGCAUGGGGGUUGGUGGAAAGGGUUUUUCUGGUGGGGGAUGGGCUCGCGGCCUAUCAGCUUGUUGGUGGGGUGAUGGCCUACCAAGGCUUUGACGGGUGGCCGGCCUGAGAGGGUGACCGGUCACAUUGGGACUGAGAUACGGCCCAGACUCCUACGGGAGGCAGCAGUGGGGAAUAUUGCACAAUGGGCGCAAGCCUGAUGCAGCGACGCCGCGUGAGGGAUGGAGGCCUUCGGGUUGUGAACCUCUUUCGCUAAUGGUCAAGCCGCAACAAUGGUUGUGGUGAGGGUAGUGGGUAAAGAAGCGCCGGCUAACUACGUG
Molecule: ribosomal RNA, 483 nt
Filed under: uncultured bacterium
Lineage: Bacteria
Description: partial 16S ribosomal RNA
Rfam family: Bacterial small subunit ribosomal RNA
Source: RNAcentral